GUAUGUCUAAGAAGGUUUGUUGUUGGGCUACAACUCCUUCAAACUUAAUCCAACUUUCAACAACGGAUCUCUUGGCUCUCGCAUCGAUGAAGAACGCAGCGAAAUGCGAUAAGUAAUGUGAAUUGCAGAAUUCAGUGAAUCAUCGAAUCUUUGAACGCCCCUUGCGCUCCUUGGUAUUCCGAGGAGCAUGCCUGUUUGAGUGUCAUGAAAUUCUCAACCUUUUCAGCUUUCUUUGUUGAUCAGGCUUGGAUGUGGGAGUAUGCGGGCUUGUCAGAAGUCGGCUCUCCUGAAAUGCAUUAGCGGGACCUUUGUUGCCGGGCUUUGGUGUGAUAAUUAUCUACGCCAUGGUAGUCAAGCAGCAU
Molecule: ribosomal RNA, 362 nt
Filed under: uncultured fungus
Lineage: Eukaryota; Fungi
Description: eukaryotic LSU rRNA
Rfam family: 5.8S ribosomal RNA (bases 52-205)
Source: RNAcentral